GACGAACGCUGGCGGCGUGCUUAACACAUGCAAGUCGAACGGAAAGGCCCUGCUUUUUUGGUGUUCUCGAUUGGCGAACGGGUGAGUAACACGUGUGUAACCUGCCCUUGUCUUUGUGAUAACUUCAGGUAACUGGGGCUAAUACCGUAUAGGAUCUCCUGCUGCAUGUUGGUGGUUGGAUAUUUUCGGGGUUUGGGGAUGGACUCGCGGCUUAUCAGCUUGUUGGUGGGGUAGUGGCUUACCAAGGCUUUGACGGGUAGCCGGCCUGUGAGGGUGACCGGCGACAUUGGGACUGAGAGAGGGACCAGACGGGAACGGGAGGCAGCAGUGGGGAAUAUUGCACAAUGGGCGGAAGCCUGAUGAAGAAACGCCGCGUGCGGGAAGACGGCCUUCGGGUUGUAAACAGCAUGAGAAUGAGACGAAGCGGGAGUGACGGUAAUGGGUAAAGAAGCACCGGCUAACUACGUG
RNAcentral lists this ribosomal RNA (468 nucleotides) under uncultured bacterium. RNAcentral's name for it is "partial 16S ribosomal RNA". It matches the Rfam family "Bacterial small subunit ribosomal RNA", at positions 28 to 507 of the family's 1533-position model. The record is from RNAcentral.